CAACUCGCCUGCAUGAAGUCGGAAUUGCUAGUAAUCGCGGAUCAGCAUGCCGCGGUGAAUACGUUCUCGGGCCUUGUACACACCGCCCGUCACACCAUGGGAGUCGGUAACACCCGAAGUCUGUAGCCUGACGCAAGAGGGCGCAGCCGAAGGUGGGAUUGAUGACUGGGGUGAAGUCGUAACAAGGUAUC
RNAcentral lists this ribosomal RNA (191 nucleotides) under uncultured bacterium. RNAcentral describes it as "partial 16S ribosomal RNA". It matches the Rfam family "Bacterial small subunit ribosomal RNA", at positions 1308 to 1500 of the family's 1533-position model. The record is from RNAcentral.